This 236-nucleotide long non-coding RNA is filed under the name Numida meleagris (helmeted guineafowl). RNAcentral's name for it is "lncRNA (ENSNMEG00000012229.1)". The record is from RNAcentral. Lineage: Eukaryota; Metazoa; Chordata; Aves; Galliformes; Numididae.
UAACUUUUAAGAUCAAGUCAGAGUAUAUCUGAGCUGCAUAAGUCCAAAAUGCGACAGUGAAAAGAGUCUGAAAACAUUGUUGGACAUCAAUGAUUUCUAAACAGCACUAUGGGAGAUCGGGGAGGCAAUGGAAACGAAUGUCCCACAGAAGGAUGUUAUCUCAACAUUGUAACAGAGGACUAAAGCAAGUGGUUUGCUCUCUUUAAAAAGUUCCUGAACUUUUUGAACCUGGUUCU